Molecule: ribosomal RNA, 203 nt
Filed under: uncultured bacterium
Lineage: Bacteria
Description: partial 16S ribosomal RNA
Rfam family: Bacterial small subunit ribosomal RNA
Source: RNAcentral
UACAGAGGUCUCAAGCGUUGUUCGGAUUCAUUGGGCGUAAAGGGUGCGUAGGUGGCGCCGUAAGUCGGGUGUGAAAUUUCGGAGCUUAACUCCGAAACUGCAUUCGAUACUGCGGUGCUUGAGGACUGGAGAGGAGACUGGAAUUCAUGGUGUAGCAGUGAAAUGCGUAGAGAUCAUGAGGAAGACCAGUGGCGAAGGCGGGC